Oryza barthii is the source of this 185-nucleotide non-coding RNA. The record is from Rfam. Lineage: Eukaryota; Viridiplantae; Streptophyta; Magnoliopsida; Poales; Poaceae.
AAUAAGUGUAGUUUUGUAUUGGUUAUGUUUAACAUUUGAUAGUUCAUCUUAUUCAAAAAAAAUUAUGAUUAAUUUUUUAUUGUUAUUAGAUGAUAAAACAUGAAUAGUGAUUAUUUUUUUUAUAAAUUUUAUAAAUAAGACGGACGGUUAAACGUUGGAUACGGAUAUUCAUGGCUGCACUUAUU